RNAcentral lists this ribosomal RNA (253 nucleotides) under uncultured bacterium. RNAcentral's name for it is "partial 16S ribosomal RNA". It matches the Rfam family "Bacterial small subunit ribosomal RNA", at positions 524 to 776 of the family's 1533-position model. The record is from RNAcentral.
CACGUAGGGCGCAAGCGUUGUCCGGAAUUAUUGGGCGUAAAGAGCUCGUAGGCGGUCUGUUGCGUCCGCUGUGAAAACCCGGGGCUUAACCCUGGGCUGGCAGUGGAUACGGACAGACUAGAGGUAGGUAGGGGAGAAUGGAAUUCCCGGUGUAGCGGUGAAAUGCGCAGAUAUCAGGAAGAACACCUAUGGCGAAGGCAGCUCUCUGGGACGGUACUGACGCUGAGACGCGAAAGCGUGGGGAGCGAACAGG